UUUUUCUGAGGCAACUGGAAAUACUUUGAUUAUUCUACUGAUAAGAACUUGUUCACUUAUUGUGGAAUCUCAACGAAGAAACAAAUAUAAUUCAAAGCUUGCACAACAUGGACAUUUCUAUACUGUCUGCUCUGACACUGAUGCUGGCUGUCUGGGCUGUGGCUGUGGCUGGGGAUUGUGUGACAGAUCCCGUGACCAUGCUGUGCAUUUUGGAUCCCAAUCAGGGCUAAUAACCAUAUGCGGAUACUGAUAUGUGUCUCCAACCAGAGUGGAUUCUCUCUUGAAUAAAGUGAAAACGUGGAACUAAAGUUUUUGACACAGA
Drosophila guanche is the source of this 322-nucleotide long non-coding RNA. RefSeq lists it as uncharacterized. Lineage: Eukaryota; Metazoa; Arthropoda; Insecta; Diptera; Drosophilidae. The record is from RefSeq and is a predicted model, not a curated record. The transcript has 2 exons.